AUGGAAUGGCAAUUGAUAAGGAAGCUCUUGCCAUCAUCGAAGGACAAUACCGCUAACCGGAUCAUUGUCACUGCGCGGGAACUGAAUGUUGCAAUGUGUUGUUCGGAGAAAGAACGCAAAAUAUACAAUCUCGAGCUUCUAACUAAACAGGAUGCUCUCCGCCUAUUUGAAAAGAAGGUAUUCAAGGAUAUCGAAGAGAGGGAAAGUUAUGCUCAUAUUCCGGGCCUGGCUGAGCAAGCAAAUCUUAUAUUGAAGAAGUGUGACGGCCUCCCUCUUGCAAUAUCCACCAUAGGUAGCUUCCUGGCAACCAAACCUAAAACUGCUAUAGAGUGGAGGAAUUUGAACAAACACAUCAAUGCAGAGCUAGAGAUGAAUAAAGAGCUUGAGAUGAUACAGACAGUCCUUGCUUCAAGUUACGAAGGUUUACCUUAUUAUCUCAAGGCUUGCUUCUUGUAUUUAUCCAUUUUUCCUGAAGACCACCGCAUCAGAUGGUCUCGUUUGGUGAGGCGCUGGAUUGCAGAGGGGUAUUCGAGGCGAAUACGCGACAAGACUGCAGUUGAAACCGGGAAUAGCUACAUCACCGAGCUUAUCAAUAGGAGUAUGGUCCGACCAUUACAAGGAGAUGGGAUUGCAAGUGGGAGGAAAGGUUUCUUGGACGUCCAUGAUCUCAUCCGUGACAUUGCAAUCUCAAAGGCAACAGAGGAAAGUCUUGUUUUUACACUGGAUGAAGGAUGUGACUUAAACACCCAAGGCAAAAUCCGUCACCUUGCUGUAAGCAGCAGGUGGAAAAGAGAUAAAGAUGCAUUUGAGCGUGCACUGGACUUGUCUCACUUAAGAUCAUUAACAGUCUUUGGAAGGUUGGAGGCAUUUUUCAUUUCUGAUAAGAUGAGAUUACUCCGAGUACUGGACUUGGAAGACACAAAGGGUCUGACAGAUCAACACCUCCAUCAGAUUGGGAAGCUUGUUCACCUAACCUACCUUUCUCUGCGAGGAUGUGACGGACACUUGCGCCUGCCAGAUUCAAUGGGCAAUCUGAGGCACCUACAGACACUGGAUGUAAGAGAUGUAUGCAUAAUAAAUCUGCCAACAACAAUUAUCAAGCUUGACAAGUUACGUUAUCUCCAUGUGGGCGUUGUACCAUUGAAUGAUGACAAGUGGGGAAAAGCCCAUAAUACGGAUUAUCCGCAAGUGUAA
This 1194-nucleotide ribosomal RNA is filed under the name Triticum aestivum (bread wheat). Its description in RNAcentral is "partial small subunit ribosomal RNA". Lineage: Eukaryota; Viridiplantae; Streptophyta; Magnoliopsida; Poales; Poaceae. The record is from RNAcentral.